RNAcentral lists this ribosomal RNA (227 nucleotides) under uncultured bacterium. Its description in RNAcentral is "partial 16S ribosomal RNA". It matches the Rfam family "Bacterial small subunit ribosomal RNA", at positions 107 to 334 of the family's 1533-position model. The record is from RNAcentral.
UGAGUAACACGUAUCCAACCUGCCGUCUACUCUUGGACAGCCUUCUGAAAGGAAGAUUAAUACAAGAUGGCAUCAUGAGUCCGCAUGUUCACAUGAUUAAAGGUAUUCCGGUAGACGAUGGGGAUGCGUUCCAUUAGAUAGUAGGCGGGGUAACGGCCCACCUAGUCUUCGAUGGAUAGGGGUUCUGAGAGGAAGGUCCCCCACAUUGGAACUGAGACGCGGUCCAA